CAGCAGCCACGGUAAUACAGAGGGUGCGAGCGUUAAUCGGAUUUACUGGGCGUAAAGCGUGCGUAGGCGGCUUCUUAAGUCGGAUGUGAAAUCCCUGAGCUUAACUUAGGAAUUGCAUUCGAUACUGGGAAGCUAGAGUAUGGGAGAGGAUGGUAGAAUUCCAGGUGUAGCGGUGAAAUGCGUAGAGAUCUAGAGGAAUACCGAUGGCGAAGGCAGCCAUCUGGCCUAAUACUGACGCUGAGGUACGAAAGCAUGGGGAGCAAACAGGAUUAGAUACCCCCGUAGUCCCUGUCUCUUAUAA
Molecule: ribosomal RNA, 301 nt
Filed under: uncultured bacterium
Lineage: Bacteria
Description: partial 16S ribosomal RNA
Rfam family: Bacterial small subunit ribosomal RNA
Source: RNAcentral